UGAACGCUGGCGGCAGGCCUAACACAUGCAAGUCGAGCGGAUGGAGGGAGCUUGCUCCUGAUUCAGCGGCGGACGGGUGAGUAAUGCCUAGGAAUCUGCCUGGUAGUGGGGGACAACGUCUCGAAAGGGACGCUAAUACCGCAUACGUCCUACGGGAGAAAGCAGGGGACCUUCGGGCCUUGCGCUAUCAGAUGAGCCUAGGUCGGAUUAGCUAGUUGGUGAGGUAAUGGCUCACCAAGGCGACGAUCCGUAACUGGUCUGAGAGGAUGAUCAGUCACACUGGGACUGAGACACGGCCCAGACUCCUACGGGAGGCAGCAGUGGGGAAUCUUGCCCAAUGGGCGAAAGCCUGAGGCAGCGACGCCGCGUGCGCGAAGAAGGCCUUCGGGUUGUAAACCGCUUUCAGGAGGGACGAAGCCACUCGGGUGAAUAGCCCAGAGGGUGACGGUACCUCCAGAAGAAGCCCCGGCUAACUACGUGCCAGCAGCCGCGGUAAUACGUAGGGGGCAAGCGUUGUCCGGAUUUAUUGGGCGUAAAGAGCGUGUAGGCGGCUAGAUAGGUCCGUUGUGAAAACUCGAGGCUCAACCUCGAGACGUCGAUGGAAACCAUCUGGCUAGAGUCCGGAAGAGGAGAGUGGAAUUCCUGGUGUAGCGGUGAAAUGCGUAGAUAUCAGGAGGAACACCGGUGGUGUAGACGGCUUACUGGACCAUAACUGACGCUGAGACACGAAAGCGUGGGUAGCAAACAGGAUUAGAUACCCUGGUAGUCCACGCCCUAAACGAUGCAUAUUUGGUGUGGGUCAUUCAUUUGAUCCGUGCCGGAGCUAACGCGUUAAAUAUGCCGCCUGGGGAGUACAGUCGCAAGGCUGAA
This 870-nucleotide ribosomal RNA is filed under the name uncultured bacterium. RNAcentral's name for it is "bacterial SSU rRNA". It matches the Rfam family "Bacterial small subunit ribosomal RNA", at positions 30 to 898 of the family's 1533-position model. The record is from RNAcentral.